AACGAACGCUGGCGGCAUGCCUAACACAUGCAAGUCGAACGAUGCUUUCGGGCAUAGUGGCGCACGGGUGCGUAACGCGUGGGAAUCUGCCCUUGGGUUCGGAAUAACAGUUGGAAACGACUGCUAAUACCGGAUGAGGACGAAAGUCCAAAGAUUUAUCGCCUGAGGAUGAGCCCGCGUAAGAUUAGGUAGUUGGUGGGGUAAAGGCCUACCAAGCCGACGAUCUUUAGCUGGUCUGAGAGGAUGAUCAGCCACACUGGGACGGGGACACGGCCCAGACUCCUACGGGAGGCAGCAGGGGGGAAUAAUUGACAAGGGGCGAAAGCCUUAUCCAGCAAUGCCGCGGGGAUGAUGAAAGCCUUUGGGUUGUAAAGCUCUUUUACCCGGGAUGAUAAUGACAGUACCGGGAGGAUAAGCCCCGGCUAACUCCGUGCCAGCCGCCGCAGUAA
This 449-nucleotide ribosomal RNA is filed under the name uncultured bacterium. RNAcentral describes it as "partial 16S ribosomal RNA". It matches the Rfam family "Bacterial small subunit ribosomal RNA", at positions 29 to 523 of the family's 1533-position model. The record is from RNAcentral.